GAUGAACGCUGGCGGCGUGCCUAAUACAUGCAAGUCGAGCGGUAAGGCUCCUUCGGGAGUACACGAGCGGCGGACGGGUGAGUAAUACGUAGGAACGUACCCCAAAGUGAGGAAUAACCAGCCGAAAGGUUGGCUAAUACCGCAUAUGCUCUACGGAGUAAAGCAGUAAUGCGCUUUGGGAACGGCCUGCGUCCGAUUAGCUAGUUGGUAAGGUAAAGGCUUACCAAGGCGACGAUCGGUAGCUGUUCUGAGAGGAUGAUCAGCCACACUGGAACUGAGACACGGUCCAGACUCCUACGGGAGGCAGCAGUAGGGAAUUUUCCACAAUGGGCGAAAGCCUGAUGGAGCAACGCCGCGUGCAGGAUGAAGGCCUUAGGGUUGUAAACUGCUUUUAUCUGUGACGAUUAUGACAGUAGCAUAUGAAUAAGGAUCGGCUAACUCCGUGCCAGCCGCCGCCGUAA
Molecule: ribosomal RNA, 461 nt
Filed under: uncultured bacterium
Lineage: Bacteria
Description: partial 16S ribosomal RNA
Rfam family: Bacterial small subunit ribosomal RNA
Source: RNAcentral